UCUAAAUUAAAAAAAAAAAAUCAUAUCAAGUCAUAAUUUCUCAAAAAGUUCAAAUCUUUUUACAGCAAAAUUGGUAACAAAUGAGAUCUUUGUUCAAAUUUUCUUGCUUCCGUAGAGACUUUUUUGUUGGCAUUGCGCUAACCAUGAAAUUUGAUGCGGCAUCGAAGGAAUUACAUUGAGCUCACUCUUAUCACCGAUGGUGAAAGUAAGAAGGAUGCAACAGUAUGCAAAUGGAGAUCCUAUGUGAUUGCAAAAUAUUAGCUAAGUUGAAGGGGAAAUUUUACAAGACCACACUUCAACUUGCUAUGAUGUAUUUUAAAGAGUAUUGGCAGUAGUGGUGAUGAAGAAACAUAUACGCAAGACCAGCAAAUGCAUCAAAUGGAAGGUUGAGCAUGUUGAAAAGGCAAGAGGGACAUUCCUAGGAUGAUGAUGGGGAAUGUAAGGAUUUGCUGGCCUUAGAUGCUUUGGAAAAUGUAGUCGUAGUAUUUAUUUCAACUAUUUGAGAAUUUGGAGUAUUAGUAUUCAAACAAUAUCUAGCUUUCCUAACAUGACAUGCAUUUGUUCUUAGUAAAUGCAUCAUUAAAAUUUUUUCUUGCCAAACAAGGGCACUGUUGAUGUAAACAUUAACAUUUUGUCUACACAAUAGAGUUUCUCAUUGUGUUUUGUGAAAUUUCCAUCAGUAAAUUUAUUGGAGUAAACAUUUUAUUUCUUUAUCAAUGGAAUAAAAUCUAGAUGUCAGUUGAGGUAUUUUAAUAUCAUCAUUAGAAUCUAGACCAAACACAACUUUUAUUAUAGACUUCAAGAUAAAGAUUUUCACAUAGGGGACGCUCAUUUCGUUGACUACUGUAUUAGAUCACCUCUUUCAUGGGCAGUUGACACUUGAUCUCAGAGGUAUGAUUUAACGCUUGAAAUUAUUCUCUUUUCUUACAUUCUUAUCAUAAAAAAUGUUUAACAGCUUACAUGUUAUUCUUUCUCUACACUAAUAAAAUGUUUGAUUCGAGGUGCUUUCACUAAGUAAGUCACCUUCUGAUUGCUUUCUGAUUCGAGCAGAACUUGCUCUUUGCGUCACAAAAGCAGCACCAAAGUAGCAAUAUCUCUAAGUUAGGCAACCAUAUGCUAUCAGAGGUUAAGGCAGCUUCGCAGCAGUUGUAAGGGCCCUUUGGUUUAGUUCUAAAAUGUCAAAGAGUGUCAUGAGAAAGGUAUUGCCUUUUGAAAGAUUCUCUGGCCAGGUGCAAGUAUUGCCAAAGGGUCAUAGGCAGAUUUUCUUUGGGCAAAAACUUUCCAUUGUGGGCCAAAAUGGGCUUUCCACUCUUCCUGUGAAGUAUAGUGGGGCAGAUAUUGCUUGAAACCAAGACGUGCUGUGUCACAAAAUUCUAGAAUUCGCCUGUUCUGAGUUAGGAUAUGUUUUAAACCAUCAGUCCCUGUGGAAGAGGGAACGGCAGAGGAAAGGAAUGCCACUAAGUAAAAAAUAUCCUCUUCUGGAAUAACAACAGAAGUUCUGUUGUCCCACCUGAAAUUGGAAUUUGGAAUUCAUGAAUUAAUCAGUCGACAGCAGAAACUAGAAUAAUUUACAGAAACAAAAUGACGUUCUUUUGUUGAGCAGUUACUUUGAUUUGUUAACCGGGUAAAUGAGGAUGGGCCCAUUGCUGGUGUCUGUAAGGAUAUUGCCAAAGACUUCUUCAGCAAAAUUGUGUAUUUUGCUUUUGGGGACAAGAAGAUUUAGCCAUGGAUGCGGAACUUCCCACAAGCCUUUGGACCGUAGUUUGACCUCAGACACAUGAACCCUAUCCAAGAACUCGAUGUAUGGAACUUCUGAUAGAAAAAGUGUUGAUGGGAUAUAUCUUAAUUGGGACAACAAAUUCAUAAUUUCCUGCAUGGUAAAACACAUGGUGACAUUUUAUUUAUCUUUUAGGUAAGUAUUAUUUAUUUAUUAAUCAAUUAAGUUUAGUGGGCCAUUGCUUCUAACCUCAUUUAAUUUAUCUGUCUUGUCCUUCUUGAAAUAUUUGGCCAAUUCCAAGCAAAAUAGAGUUCUUCCAUCUGAUUCGAACUGGCUAGCUUGUAAUGGAUCUUGAGGAUUAAAGGAUGACCUCCAGUUAUUUAAGAGACCAGUCCUGUUAAUUAUCACAAAUCCUUCAAUGUAGUCGAAUGUGUUUUCUGCUGAUAUUAAACUCUCCUGGUCUCUAGCAAAUGUGUUGAAGUCUGAGUAGAGAACUCUAAUCCAUUUCACCUGCGCAAAAUACACAAUUCUGUUAUUACAACUGAAACUUUCAACUGUAAGCGGAUAACAUUUCCUUUUCUUGCUCUGAUUUAAUUUGUCCAGGGAUCAUGCUUUUACCAUAUCAGGUGCUGGCUCCAGUGAUAUUCUUGCCCUUGUUAUGAUGCCAAACUGACCAAGACCUCCAAGAACACCGUGGAAUAGAUUAUGCCCAAUGGCGGAAAUAAGUUUUAAUGGACCAAGGUCUAGCACAACUUGCAUGAACUUGCAUGAGUGGGAAACCUGCCAAUGUCAUGCAUGUUUGUCUGCUUGAUCUUUGGUCUCUUCGCUCAUGGUACAAUUUAUCACCACUGUUUAUGUAUGUAUAUAUUAUCAACACCUAUAAAUGCCUCCGAUUUAUUGUAACUGACCUGUAAUAACUUCCAGCUGAUGGACGUUACUUAUUUGAGGGCCAUGCCGAAAUGCCUGCCCACUGACCCCAGCAUUGGACAAAGUGCCACCAACAGUUAAAUGUAGGUAGUCUGUCCAUGAUUUUGGUGCUAACCCAUGUUUCAGGCUUUCACGCAGGAUAUUUAUCCAUAACUCGCCUCCAGAGACAUCCACAUAGGGAUGUUUUCCAGCAUGAACUUGCAUUUUAGGACCCUGGAGAGAUUCCAUAUUGAUGACAACUCCACGGUGGGCUUGUGCCUGACCAUGAAGAGAGUGGCCAUGGCCUCUAGCUGCAACUGUGAGGUCUGAAUGAGGACCCAUCUGCCAAAUAUGUUUUAUGGUAGUGGCAAUGUCAGAAACGGACCUCGGAUGUAGUACCGCGAAAGGGAGCAACUGAAACCUGUUGCCAAAGUCUUUGGCUGCAUAGUGGAGAUCAUCAAAGGUAAAAUGGCCUUGAACAGAAAGUGUUUUCAGUGAAGAAGGAUUGCCAGAGAAACAGAGGUUUAUUCUUACGGUCAUGCAGCUGAGGAGCAAGAUCAUGAAACCCCUUAUGAAAAGCAUGUUAUUUAGUUUAUGGGAGCUGAUGGGUAGGAAUCUCAUGGUUGAGCUGGAAAAGUUGGGAAGAGCUGAGAGCAGAAGGUGUUUGUUUAAGCUUUGGUAUUAGUUUGAUGUUUAUUUGGGAGCAAAAGCAAGGGAUAGGUGGGGGUGGAAGAGUAUAGAAAUGAAGGGGUUGAGGAGAGAAUUUAAAGGUGAGGAUUUUGGGGUGGCCGAGUCAACCAAGAUUCAGUUGUUAAAAUCCGUAUGAAGACUGCCUACUUGGGAUGGAAAGAGUUUUAGAAAGUUUUACCUUAGGUUUAAUUGGAGUGCUUUUGUUUUUUAUUUUAUUUUAUUUUUGUAAGAGAAAGGGAAGCUAUCACUUAUACGAAGUUGAAUAGGAAAAAGUCGCAAGAUAGAAAGAAAGAAAGAUUUGUGAAAUCUUUUACACUUUUUCCAAACAGUUGCAACCACAAUGAGGACCUUUUCUACCAAAGACAAACAUGUCUCGGAAGUUUUUAUCCUCAGCCAUGUUAAGGAGAGUCGUCCUAUUUUUAGACAAGAAAAGAAAAGAAAAGAAAAGUAGAUGGCUUUGGGGCAGUAGGCGUAUCUCUCUGCCUCCAGUGUCUGUCAGAAUGCCUGUGCCUGUGGUGUGGGGGUCUCAAUGGGUCCAUGCUACACGUGAAAUUCAAAUGCCUGUGUGCUUUAUGGGGUGAAGGGUUAUGAUUGGCUAUGUUGGGACCCCUUUCUUUCUUUGUCGAAGGGUAAGAAGAGUUGGAGCAGUAGGAGUGGAGAUGGGGAUGACAGCUCGGAGGAGGCACUGAAAGACUUCUCUUCCUCCCUAUCUGCUGCUAAAUAUUGUUUUGAAGCCUUACUUCGUAGCAAUUGGACAAAUCUUAAUGAUUCUCAUGUUUAUAUGUUCCUUAACUGCAAUUAUUGGUUUUUUAACCUUUUGUAACAAGUUGCACUUUGGUUUAGAUUUGCAGCUCCAAAAGGAAGCAUCUUUCACUUCCCCUCCCCUAGUGGAAUAUCAAUCCAGGUGAAAGGGUGGGAGUACAGCCCUGGUGAUUUAUAUUACUUCAUUGAGCUCACUCCUCUGUCACUACCCUCUUAUGGUAUUAACAAAUAACAUUUUUUUGAUUAUUAUUUCAUUAAGAUUUGGGGUUCGUACUUGCUGAGACCCCAAAAUUGUUGUCCUAAAAGGACAAAUGAAGUUGUAACUUGUAAGUUUGGUGGAUAUCUUUUUCAUAAUCAACUUUGGAUACUAUAUUUUAUUCAAAUUAAUAUUCUUC
Molecule: long non-coding RNA, 4470 nt
Organism: Ricinus communis (castor bean)
Lineage: Eukaryota; Viridiplantae; Streptophyta; Magnoliopsida; Malpighiales; Euphorbiaceae
Exons: 5
Source: RefSeq, a predicted model, not a curated record